CCUACGGGUGGCAGCAGUGAGGAAUAUUGGUCAAUGGACGCAAGUCUGAACCAGCGAGGCCGCGUGCAGGAAGACGGCUCUAUGAGUUGUAAACUGCUUUUGUACGAGGGUAAACUCAGCUACGUGUAUCUUUCUGCCCGUAUCCUACGAAUAAGGAUCGGCUAACUCCGUGCCAGCAGCCGCGGUAAUACGGAGGAUCCAAGCGUUAUCCGGAUUUAUUGGGUUUAAAGGGUGCGUAGGUGGUCGGUUAAGUUAGAGGUGAAAUCCCGGGGCUCAACUUCGGAAUUGCCUUUGAUACUGUUCGGCUAGAGGGUAGUAGCGGUAGGCGGAAUGUGUGGUGUAGCGGUGAAAUGCUUAGAGAUCAUACAGAACACCGAUUGCGAAGGCAGCUUACCAAGCUACAUCUGACGUUGAGGCACGAAAGCGUGGGGAGCAAACAGGAUUAGAUACCCGAGUAGUC
RNAcentral lists this ribosomal RNA (460 nucleotides) under uncultured bacterium. RNAcentral's name for it is "partial 16S ribosomal RNA". It matches the Rfam family "Bacterial small subunit ribosomal RNA", at positions 338 to 795 of the family's 1533-position model. The record is from RNAcentral.